This is a non-coding RNA of Peromyscus maniculatus bairdii (prairie deer mouse), 2523 nucleotides long. The record is from RefSeq and is a predicted model, not a curated record. NCBI's taxonomy places the organism in Eukaryota, Metazoa, Chordata, Mammalia, Rodentia, Cricetidae.
UGUCCUGGAUCUCACUCUGUAGACAAGGCUGGCCUCGAACUCACAGAGAUCUGCCUGCCUCUGCCUCCCGAGUGCUGGGAUCAAAGGCGUGCGCCACCACCGCCUGAUUAAUUGCUGGAAUUACCCACAUGAGCUUAAUUUCCACAGCUCUCUAUUUUAUGGGUGACAUGAUUGGCCUGUGUUGGGUCCUGAGGAUGUGAGAAUAAUGGGGACCAGACACCAAAGUCUAUUAACCAGAAGCAAACUUUAUUCCAAACACCACAGGGCACAGAAAACUUGUAGCUAGCUAGGGCCACAGACAGAGUUGGGCUUCUGACAUGGUGACCCUGAGAGGAACUUCCAAGCCUCUUCUUACAGUAAAAUCCAAGCACCAGGUGGUGGGUCACAGGGUUUUACAGUCUUGAGCUUGGGCCUUGAGUCACAUGACAUUCUGAGAGUCUCCAGUUUCGAUUGCAGGGUGUUAGUUCAGGUAUUUGUGAAAGCCUGUGGCUGUCUUGACACAGCUGUCUUCCCUGUAGCUGAAAGGAAUGUAGGGCAGAGGGUCACACAGAGGCAAGUGUUAAAGUGUAACCUUUGUCCACAGCAGCUGUCAGCUCCAAUUUUCCUAGGAUGUGUACAGGCUGUGUACAGUUUUCAUACUCCUGGGCUUUUCAUUCCCCCAUGAGUUUAUAUCAGAAUCUAACACUUGAUUCUUCUGAAUCUGUAUGUGAACCUGAGUCUGAGUUUUCAAUAAUUGUAUAUUAUGAGCACAGAAUCAAGAGUUUCACUGAAGAAAUGCAUUUUUUUUACAAACCUAAUCAGUGUAUUAAUUACACAUGGACCAAUUAUUAAGAGUAUCAAAAGAAUAAGCAAUGGUCCAGUAAUGGAGGGCAAUAGAGUCGUUAGCCAAGGGAACCAAUUAAAGAGCUUAUGGAACCAGGAAAAUGAUCGUUUUCUCUCUCUCUCUGUCUUUCGAGGAGAAUCACUUUGAAGAACGUUUCUAACAACGCCUGAGGGGUUAGCACAGGAACAGCAGGAUUCACCCACGGUGGCACAUAGCCCUCCUUGUGUCGGGAGUGUGCUUGGUAGCGCCCCCAAGAUGGUGUGUUUUGGUGAGAAGGCCGCUCAGUGUGGUGUUCUUUUGGUCCCUCGAGCAGUCUCCUGGCACCUUCACAUAAGGAUUGACACCCCAGGAGGUAGAACCAAGGCUCGGCUCUAGAACACCCUUUCUUGUCUGGAGAUACCAUGUGGGCAUACAGCCAUGGCCUAAAAAACACGGAAGUCCCCCACUAAGCACAAGACAUAAGGGUCUGAUACAAAUUCCACCCCUGUUGACUGUCAUCUUCUCUCUGACUGCUGUUUGCUUGCUGUUUCCCUCUAAAAGAUGGGUAAUCUUUUCAUCACCCCCACCACUUCCCUGUCGGAUAUCUCUAUGAGAUCCAAUGAUGAGACAGGCAGUUUGGGCCCUCGAAAUCUGUCAGUUUGGGCCAUGUGAAAUCUGCCAAGGAGAACAUAGCUGUCAGUUUAGGCCCUGAGACAUCUGUCAAGAAGAAUGUAGCUGUCAGUUUGGGCCCCUCAGAAUCUGUCAAGGAGAAGGCAGCUGUCGUUAAGUCAUGCCCUGCUCCCUGCUCUGUUCCACCAUCGCUGGUGGCUACACCUCCUCUGUGGUAUUUCUGGGAAGAUCUAACCCAGCACCCACCUGCCUCAGGAGGUGGCUACUCUCCCACAGCACCAGGUGUCUUACAACCCUCACAGCCUGUGCCAUUAUCAGUCCAUAGGCCCAUAGAAGCCUUCCCAGUCAAUGUGGGCCCAAAUGCUGAUGCCCAGCCCUGGAUUCCCACCCCAUAGCUGAUCUCUUCCUUAUCCAGAAGGCAGUCAAUGAGUCAGGUCCAGAUUCUCCCUACUUUCAGCAGGUCCUUGCUCAAUGGUCCAUGCAGUUACAAACUUAUUUAGAUUGGUACCAUUUGCUUAAAGCUAUGUUGGAGCCUGCAGUCUAUGAUGAUCAGGCAGAAUCCCAGGCCUGGACAAACAUCUUACCCAUGAUAUGCUCACAGGGCAUGGGGAAUAUGUCCAUCCUGUGCACCAGACACAGAUUAGCUUGGAUGCCUAUUUUUAACAGGUGUUGGACCUGGCCCUCAAGGCCCUAAAAAGGGCUCAGCUAGGCCUACAAGCACUGAGCAUCUCUGCCAAAGAACAUGCCCCUGCCCCUAACGAGAUGGAGAGAUCCUAUCUCCCUCCAAUGGCAAUCACCAGCCUGCCUGCUAACCCAUGGGAGAGGGUAUGCUUGUGUUUUUCCUCAGAGUGCCACUAUGCCAAUAUGGGUCCCAGCAAGAGAUUUGUGCUUGGCCACAGACCAGCCUGCUUCCACCAAGGAGUUACGCAUGCCUGGCUUUCUGAAAUUCGAAAGGCUACUGCUUGACCCUCCCCACCCAGGAUGACCCCCCAGGGAUGGACACUCUUCGAGGGCUGAUAGUCAAUGACAGGCUUCACUCCGUGUGACAGUCAGUUGACUUCCUGUUGCCUCUGAGUCAAGAUGUAGGACUC